GCCAAAUGAUGUUGUUUUGUCAGAGGAGCACAACAGUGCGAGGACGACUCUUAAUCUAUCACCCAUGACUGAUGGCU
Small nucleolar RNA from Ochotona princeps (American pika), 77 nucleotides. Its record names the gene SNORD83. It matches the Rfam family "Small nucleolar RNA SNORD83". Rfam says of the family: U83 (SNORD83) and U84 (SNORD84) are members of the C/D class of snoRNA which contain the C (UGAUGA) and D (CUGA) box motifs. They act as guanine methylation guides but lack complementarity to ribosomal RNA. U83 and U84 are spliced from introns 5 and 4 of the BAT1 gene in mammals. The record is from Ensembl. Lineage: Eukaryota; Metazoa; Chordata; Mammalia; Lagomorpha; Ochotonidae.